This 537-nucleotide ribosomal RNA is filed under the name Bifidobacterium catenulatum. RNAcentral describes it as "bacterial SSU rRNA". It matches the Rfam family "Bacterial small subunit ribosomal RNA", at positions 159 to 707 of the family's 1533-position model. Lineage: Bacteria; Bacillati; Actinomycetota; Actinomycetes; Bifidobacteriales; Bifidobacteriaceae. The record is from RNAcentral.
GGUGGUAAUGCCGGAUGCUCCGACUCCUCGCAUGGGGUGUCGGGAAAGAUUUCAUCGGUAUGGGAUGGGGUCGCGUCCUAUCAGGUAGUCGGCGGGGUAACGGCCCACCGAGCCUACGACGGGUAGCCGGCCUGAGAGGGCGACCGGCCACAUUGGGACUGAGAUACGGCCCAGACUCCUACGGGAGGCAGCAGUGGGGAAUAUUGCACAAUGGGCGCAAGCCUGAUGCAGCGACGCCGCGUGCGGGAUGACGGCCUUCGGGUUGUAAACCGCUUUUGAUCGGGAGCAAGCCUUCGGGUGAGUGUACCUUUCGAAUAAGCACCGGCUAACUACGUGCCAGCAGCCGCGGUAAUACGUAGGGUGCAAGCGUUAUCCGGAAUUAUUGGGCGUAAAGGGCUCGUAGGCGGUUCGUCGCGUCCGGUGUGAAAGUCCAUCGCUUAACGGUGGAUCUGCGCCGGGUACGGGCGGGCUGGAGUGCGGUAGGGGAGACUGGAAUUCCCGGUGUAACGGUGGAAUGUGUAGAUAUCGGGAAAGAAC